GACGAACGCUGGCGGCGUGCUUAACACAUGCAAGUCGAGCGGAAAGGCCCUUCGGGGUACUCGAGCGGCGAACGGGUGAGUAACACGUGAGUAACCUGCCCCAGACUUUGGGAUAACCCUCGGAAACGGGGCUAAUACCGAAUAUUACUUGGCUUCGCAUGGAGCUUGGUGGAAAGUUUUUCGGUCUGGGAUGGACUCGCGGCCUAUCAGCUUGUUGGUGGGGUAAUGGCCUACCAAGGCGAGGACGGGUAGCCGGCCUGAGAGGGCGACCGGCCACACUGGGACUGAGACACGGCCCAGACUCCUACGGGAGGCAGCAGUGGGGAAUAUUGCACAAUGGGCGAAGCCUGAUGCAGCGACGCCGCGUGAGGGAUGACGGCCUUCG
Molecule: ribosomal RNA, 385 nt
Filed under: uncultured bacterium
Lineage: Bacteria
Description: bacterial SSU rRNA
Rfam family: Bacterial small subunit ribosomal RNA
Source: RNAcentral